UCGUGCUAAACGGGGAACUAGCGGUGCCCUGUACCCGAGAUCCGCUAUAGCGGGGUUGAAGUCCGGCUCGAGGUUCUGUCAUUCGGGACUGCGCGGAUAAAGCGGUGUUGACGGCCUGGUCUUGCGCGGCGGAGAGCUAUGAACCCCGUCAGGUCCGGAAGGAAGCAGCGGUAAAUAGUGAGCUCCGGGUGACGCAGGGAUACCGGGUCUGAGCUGGCUAGCCCGGGUAAGCCGGAUGGCAUUGUCGACAGCCGGUGCACGG
RNAcentral lists this signal recognition particle RNA (262 nucleotides) under Chloroflexota bacterium. RNAcentral's name for it is "Chloroflexi bacterium (hot springs metagenome) signal recognition particle sRNA large type". It matches the Rfam family "Bacterial large signal recognition particle RNA". Rfam says of the family: The signal recognition particle (SRP) is a universally conserved ribonucleoprotein involved in the co-translational targeting of proteins to membranes. The record is from RNAcentral. Lineage: Bacteria; Bacillati; Chloroflexota.